GGAGAAUUGGCCGAGUGGUUUAAGGCACCAUCUUGGAAAGGUGGCGAAGUGGCAACGCUUCCGUGAGUUCGAAUCUCAUGUUCUCCG
RNAcentral lists this transfer RNA (87 nucleotides) under Holdemania filiformis. It matches the Rfam family "tRNA". Rfam says of the family: Transfer RNA (tRNA) molecules are approximately 80 nucleotides in length. Their secondary structure includes four short double-helical elements and three loops (D, anti-codon, and T loops). The record is from Rfam by way of RNAcentral. Lineage: Bacteria; Bacillati; Bacillota; Erysipelotrichia; Erysipelotrichales; Erysipelotrichaceae.